This 415-nucleotide long non-coding RNA is filed under the name Panax ginseng (ginseng). RNAcentral's name for it is "long non-coding RNA (PGIN_LNC000595)". The record is from RNAcentral. Lineage: Eukaryota; Viridiplantae; Streptophyta; Magnoliopsida; Apiales; Araliaceae.
UUUAAUAUCACAUAACUUUUAAAGACAUUAUAAAAAUUGUAAUUGAAUACCAAUAAAUUUUUAUAAACUUUUUAAAUGUCUUAAUUAAAUACAACCAAACUUUAAAAAAUAAAUUUUUUAAUUGAAUAGACCCUCCUAAAUGAAAAAGAAAUUCAUUUGAGAUUAGGGGUAAAGAAACAGAGCAAAAGGGCCUGUUUGAUAGCUGAAUGGCUCUGUCAGACCGUUUGUUUAUAGUAACUUUUUAAAUCUGCUAUUCGUCUGAUCGAUUCUUUUAACAAAAUUUGGCUGAAUGGGCUUAGUUUUACCCAAAUAGCCUUCCAUCUCUCGCUCCUCUCGUUUCCAUCUCUAGCGCCGCUCUCUUCUGCAUCUCCAUCGGUGUCUCCAUCCGUAUCGGUGUUCUCUGCUAUUUACUUGA